GAAAAAGGACAUUUCCAAAGAUCUGAGCUGUGAUGUUUCUUUUUGUGACGUCAGUGUGACCUGCAGAGUUCAGCUGCUUCAGCUCCACAUGUAAAAGGACAAGAACAUCCUCAACCAGUCGCCUGCUUGACGUCCAGCAGUUAAACAAAACCUCCCAAAACCCAACUGCUCUGCCAGUCGCCACGAUUCAACAGCAGCAACAGUCACCGUCCAUCUGCCAACUUUGCCCAGAGCAAGUGUCCCACACCUGGCGACCAAAUGCAAAACGCCAUCCAGGCUAUGCCCCCUUGACCCACAGACCUUAUAGUAACAACAGCAACCCAGAACUUUCCUGUCUGUUGUCCCGUUCAGAGACAAAUCCACAUGGAGACUUCUCCAGGCUCGAGUGCAGACGUCCUGCAGCGUUGCCUCCAUCGACCCUGUCCAAUCACCAUGCAGCUUACGUGAAGCUGUAAAAGAUUCAGUACCAAGUUUAUUAAACCAAACUUCUCUUUGUACGUAAAGUGAAGGUUUGUGAACCGUUUUUAAAAGUCUUCUGAAAUAAGGUAAGAAUAUCGUUUGAUGUUUUGAGCAAACAUGAUAUUUCAUAAUAUAUAACCUCACUAAUCAUCAGAGGGGCUAGUGUUUAGGUGUUUGCCUGUUUCUAGCUUUUACUAAGCUAAGCUAAACUAUGCUAAGCUUAGCUAAGCUUAGCUAGGUUAACUAUGUCCGUCAGUCGAGCACUGGGGGGGGGACUAUUUCUCAUCUGGAUUAUGGAGAAAACACACAGAUCAUCAUUGUUUCACCUUCGAGGUCGAGUUUCUGUCGUGAUGGAGAAUUUUAACGACUGGUGUAAUGUGUCCAAGACUAAAGACACGAUAAUCCACUUCAGGAAGUAGCCUCCACCGAUUCCCUCCAUUUUUAUUCAUUGCCAAGCUGUUGGAGUUGUCAGUCAAAUAUCUGGGAACAACAAUCGACAACAAACUCACAUUUGAAGCCGACACUGAUGCUGUUAGGUCCACCAGUGAUAAACGGCUAUCACCAGGGGAGAAGGUUUAAUGUGGAUUCUGCUCACAGAUCCAUAGAAUCCAACCAAGAUGAAAGACUUUGAGACGUAAGAACUCCUUCGUCCCUGCGACCAUCGGCCUCAUUAAAGCGUCAAGUGAUCUACAGGACCUUAUGUUCAUGCGCGUUGUGUGUAUAGAAUUAUAACUUUCCUUUAUUCUCUGCUGGCUGUAACACAAACAGACUCUUGGGGAUAAUAAAGUUUAUCUUGAGCUGC
Pleuronectes platessa (European plaice) is the source of this 1261-nucleotide long non-coding RNA. RefSeq lists it as uncharacterized. The record is from RefSeq and is a predicted model, not a curated record. The transcript is spliced from 2 exons. Lineage: Eukaryota; Metazoa; Chordata; Actinopteri; Pleuronectiformes; Pleuronectidae.